RNAcentral lists this RNase P RNA (369 nucleotides) under Sphingomonas yantingensis. RNAcentral's name for it is "RNase P class A". It matches the Rfam family "Bacterial RNase P class A". Rfam says of the family: Ribonuclease P (RNase P) is a ubiquitous endoribonuclease, found in archaea, bacteria and eukarya as well as chloroplasts and mitochondria. Its best characterised activity is the generation of mature 5'-ends of tRNAs by cleaving the 5'-leader elements of precursor-tRNAs. Cellular RNase Ps are ribonucleoproteins. The record is from RNAcentral. Lineage: Bacteria; Pseudomonadati; Pseudomonadota; Alphaproteobacteria; Sphingomonadales; Sphingomonadaceae.
CCAGAGGGCCGGGCGACCGCGGGUGGGGGUGACCUCGCGCGAGGAAAGUCCGGGCUCCACGAGACAGCGGUGCCGGGUAACGCCCGGCGGGGGCGACCCCAGGGAAAGUGCCACAGAGAGCAGACGGCGACGGUUUCGACCACGCCACGGUGAAAGGGUGCGGCAAGAGCGCACCGCGCGCCCGGUAACGGGGGCGGCACGGCAAACCCCACCGGGAGCAAGACCGAAUAGGGGCGGCGCAUGGGCCUUGUCUCGGCCCGUCGCCCGGGUUGGUUGCUUGAGCGCGUCGGCAACGGCGCGCCUAGAGGAAUGGUCGCCCAGUCCCGUUCGCGGGACGGACAGAACCCGGCUUAUAGGCCCUCUGGCGAA